Non-coding RNA from Marmota flaviventris (yellow-bellied marmot), 576 nucleotides. The record is from RefSeq and is a predicted model, not a curated record. Lineage: Eukaryota; Metazoa; Chordata; Mammalia; Rodentia; Sciuridae.
AGAGUGUGGCAGAGGGAAGCAGCUCACAUCAUGAUCAAUGUCAUGCCUGGGUUCCUGGAAGAAGGUCCAUGUUAUCAAGAUCUUAUAUGCUGAGGUUGUGGGUAACAACAAAGGUGCUCUUAUAUCUAUAUAGCCUAGAAAAGGGGAAUAGCAAGAUGGAGAAGGGACCUGGUGACCCUGGGCAGCAGCCUUUCCUUGAGACAUCUCCCCCACCAGCAAGACCUCAACUUCCUCAACUUUUAACUCCUUGACACACAGGAGGUGAGAAGGAGACCUGGCCUGAUCAACUGAGAGAAGCUGUGUUCCUGUCAAAAGGCACUCAACCCAGAGGGCCUGUCCCACCACAAGGGAACACCACAAGAGAGGGUCUUCCUAAAUUGCCAUGAGAGUUGAGAGUCAUGAUAAGUUGCCAAAGCCUGCCUUGAACUUGGGAUCCUAAUGCUUCAUUUUCCUGAGUCACUGGAAUACAGGCCUGUAUCACUGCUUCUAGCUUAAUUAGUACAUUUUAGCAAAUGCUAAUAUUAAUUCAGAACUUAUAUUGAUAUGUGGUUAUUAUAUACAAUUUCUUUUAUAAAA